UCUCUUACUUUACUCUUUCUCAAUCACCCACACGAUUUCAUCCUUCCAAUUUCUUCUUCCCUCCUCAUUCUCAUCUAACAAUCUUCCCUUUCUUCUCUGAACAAUCGCUGCCGCCACCACCACCAUCGUCCCUCGUGCCCAGCCCGUGCCCGCUGCCACCGUCGUCACUCCUCACUUUCUUCAAACACUGUUAUGCUUGCCACCAUCGUCGGGAGUCCUUUUCUUCAACCAUGUUCACGUCCAGCCCUCGCCACCACCGUCGCCGUCACUACAACAAAUAUACCUUUUAAUAACACCCAACCACAACAUAUUUUAUAAUACGCUUAAACAGAGAAGAGAAUGGCACGAACGAAUCUUGGUCGGAGAAGAGCGAUUUUCCUAACACCCGAAUGGUUCAAAUGGUUCCCUUUCUCUUCUUGGGUUCUCUUCACUUUCCCUUAAACCUCCGGCUUUCUCUAAUGGCGCCAAGAAGUUUCAUGGGGUUGGUCUCAUAAGAGCUUCUGUUGCUGUGGAGCAGCAGGUAGAGAAGACCAAGGUUGCUCUUGUCAGAAUUGGCACCAGAGGAAGGUAACUUUUUUGUUUUGUUGGUCUUUUUUAGAUUCUCUUUUGGUUUAUGGUUUUGGGUUGUCUUUAGUUUCUAAUUUUGAGUUUCUGGCUGAUUUGAGUUUGAUAAUGUGGGGGAUUGAGUUAUUGUUGAAGGGUUUGGAUCAGUUCAAUUUGUGUCUUUCAACUGGGAUUUAAUUUUGCUGUAUUGUAGAAUUGUGAGAAAGUUCAGUAUGUUUCUCAUGUUUGUACUUGAAUCUUUCAAAACUUGUAUGUUGACUUUUGUCCAAAUGAAGUAGUAUGGAAGUUGGUAUUUUUUGUGUGCUUGUAAAUCAGACCAUGAAGAACACGAAAGGGUGGAAAAUUAACAAAAUUAAAGAAAGUAAUAGAUUCCUGAGAACUAACAAUUGUGGAGAACUUCCUUCCUUACUCUCGUGUGUAACUAUGACCCAAUACUCUUCGUGUCUCAUAAUAAGAUUUUUUAACGUAUAGUUAUAAAUUAAUAGAUUCGUUUACUUCAAAUGCAUUUUUGUCUAAUAAUUUUUCUAUAUUUCAUAUCUUCCAAUAUUGAGCUCUCUCCGUAUUUCUUGCAUAAGGUCAUUUUCAUUCUUUGAAGUGUGAAGUAAACUUUCAAUCACUGAAGUUUUCAAUUCUUUGUAGUAUUCUCUGAAGUGUUUGUUAAAUUUGAUAUAAAAUAAGUAGGAAUGGAUGGAUAAUGGAACAGUGGGAAAAGAACUAUUACAUCAGUUCUAUUGUUGGUGCUAAUAAGAACUACAAGGCGUGGGCAUUUUAUUUUGUGCAGAAUCUCAAUGUAAAUUUAAGUCUGUUGGAUUUGAUUUCAAGAUGCUACCAUUCUGCUUCUUAUUUGUAUUUGUAUUUGAUGUGUUUUUUACAUCUCUUUGGACUUGGACAUUUACUUUUUCCGCAUCAAGGGCUCUGAUUUCUCACUUAUGUAUUUUGUGGUCUUGCCUUGGUAUAGUUCCCUUUGUGUUUAUGGUAUAGUUCCCUUUUUCUGCAUCAAGAGGUUUAGGUUCCACUGGUAUGAAUUGCCUCAUCUUCGUGCAUUCAUAGUGUUGUAUCUUCUUGGGUUACCUUUGCUUUGUAGUUCAUGAAUUGGGUUUCAACACUUAUAAUUUGAAGAACAGGGCACUGUAGAAUUGAUGAAAAAGGAAGGAGAAAUGCUCUGCUGCUAUGUGAAAAGAAAUGGGUAACAUUCACUAGGAAGUAGGAUUAAUUGCUAGAGCUGCGGAAGUAGGUUCGUAGUGCUGAAAAUACUAAAAUAUGUUAACAUGUUAAUUGAGCUUUUGUUAGAUGAUCUUGCUAAGUAAAAAAGGUAAUCAAUUUAUUUUUUAUUGUUAUUAUUAUUAUUUAUAGUACCCUUAACUGAGAUUCCUAUAGAUGCUUGGCAGAAACUAAAACUGGGUUUGGUCUGAGUUGAUUUGUUCGAAAUUCAGUCUUGAUUACUUUGCAUUUAUAUAUAUAUUUUUAGACAUAAUGGCAACGAAAAGAGAAUGUAAAAAAAAAACAUAAUUCCAGAAUAUAAUCUUGUUCAUCCUUGUUUGCUUUCAAGUUGCAUUGAGUUUUACAAGCUUAUUUAGGUUCCCCUAUUUAGUACCAAAUGUAUAUUAAUUCAAAAUAGUGUGACAGAAGGAGAAAUAGGUCUAGUGAUGAUGAAUGAUACAUUUUCACUACAAAUGAGUACUUGAAGGCCUUUUAACUUUCUUCUUCUUCUUCUUUAUGUAAUCAAUUUUUGUUGGCAUAAAUGGUGCUCAAGACCUCACUUCCUCGACAAAUGCAUAUUGUAACAAGGUUCACAGGUCUCAGUGGCUCAGAAUGAUUGAAGUCAUCAGAUUGAAAGCUAAGCGAUUGUCUAGAUAGCCAGGCGAUCGUUGAAGGUUGAAAACUGAGAAGACGUUUAGGAUUUCUUAUUUGUAUUAGGAUCUUGUUUCAUGUACUAUUGUAGAAUGUAUAUAUAAACACAAUAUUAAGUUUUCAUUUUGUGUAUUUGUAAAAGAUAAAUAUUGUAGUUUCUAAAAUAAUAUUAAUUUGUUGGAGCGAGAAAAAAAUAUUUAUCUA
Cucumis melo (muskmelon) is the source of this 2619-nucleotide long non-coding RNA. RefSeq lists it as uncharacterized. The transcript has 2 exons. The record is from RefSeq and is a predicted model, not a curated record. NCBI's taxonomy places the organism in Eukaryota, Viridiplantae, Streptophyta, Magnoliopsida, Cucurbitales, Cucurbitaceae.